UGCGGAAAAAUAAACAUUUCUCCUGUUGACCAGCAAGUAUAUUGGGGUCAUAGUCCCCUCCAUUGAGAUCCAAUCAUCUCUUAUGGUGCAAUAAUUAGGACACAGGGACCAAGAAGCUUGCCCUAGAUUUGUCCAUUUGUCCCGGCAAGAUUUUCUAACAUUUUUAUUUCAGCUCAUAGCUGGAGACUUGUAUGGCCUCGUAAUUAAGAUUCCUAUCACUUUCUCAUUCCAGAUUAUUUUUCCAACCUGCAAAGGCCACAAUCACGAAACCUGCAUCCUUUCAGUCAGUACCCUCCACCCAUUAACUUCUAUAAUUUUCAUGUCAAGAAUAUAGAAAGUCUAGUAGUCUAGUUUCAGUAGCACUGACAUCAGUGACAAUGGGGAUGUGUGAGAAGGAAACUUUCAUGUUUCGUGAGGAUGAUAAAAUGCCAACCGGAACAUCUCACCGGAUGUGUAAACAUCCAACCGUGUAAUGAUGACGGUUUCGUAGAAGUACUGGCAGGACAAAAGACUCUGAUUACAUGCAGGGCUGAAGGACGAGUGGUGUGGAGACUUACAGUUGGAUUACAUAAUUUUAGCCAGUAUUUCCCGUUGGCAGAAUGUACAGAACACGUUUGUAAUAGUUCGGGAUACUUUACCGAAAUAUUUCAAGCGAAAGUUCUAGACCCUCACAAUAAAACGAUUACCAUUAACGCUGAGAACACAUCCAUCAGUAGUAACAUUCUACUUGUCAACAGUAUUCUGGAAUGUGUUCAUAAUGCUGGAACUUACAACGCAGAAUCAUCUACCUGUGCGAUCAACUAUGUUUUUCCAUCAGAAAACGUGUCAUGCAACGCAGUCACAACCUCUUGGAAUGUCCACGUGUCAUGUGUCAUCGGCAGUGUGUUCUCUUCCAGUAAAAUGUACAAGUGUCACCUUUAUCGUCUUAAAAGCGAGAUGGAGAGCUUGCAGUCUGUGACCAUGGUUACGUCACCAACCAGAGAGAGCGUCACGACAGGUGAAGUGAAGGCGUCAGGCUCCUGUCAGUUCAUCUUAACACUUUCAGAAGAAGCAAACUUCUUUGUGGCUGUCUCACCAGGCGACCGUAACUACUCUGUCAAAUUUCCAGCUCAUGACAAAAAGAUAGAUGAAACUAAAGCGUGGAAGGUUUCCUAAUUUCCGUGUUUAAAGCGACAUAAGUACUUGCCUGCUGAUCAAGAUCAUAAACCAAUUUAAGUUUCGUUCGCUACGAUUGGUGGAUUCGUAAGUCCUGUGCUAAAUAAUACAGGACUUACAUGUCCAAAAAAAGGGAAACAUUUCUAGAGAGCAGCAAAGAAUGUGUUGACACAGUCCUCCCAAGAUGCUCUCUACACAAGUCACGGCCCUGAGCUUCAGGGAUAGGUCAAUGUAGUUCUACAUUUUAACUGCGAGACUGUGACAGCUGGAAGCUCUCAAGAUUCACUGUCUGAGAACCAUUGUAACAGCUGGAAGCGAGAAUGAACAUCACCAACAAGCUGAGUGAAAACUCGUACUUAGCUGCUGAUGACAAAUUGAGGUGCCUACAAAGAGCUGGUCACGUGACAUCAGUACCAAGGAGAGGCAUUAUACCAGGUUGUCAGAGGUUUUUUGACAUGAUGGCUCGGAAUGAUCAAGUUUCGAAGCACAAGAGCAGAACUAAACGUUGGUAUCCUACCCUGUAACACACCAAAGCUGUGACUGGUUUGUAUGCCCAACAAUAAACGGCAGUAAAGAAGUUGGACGUUUAGAUAUCAUGGAUCUGUGAUGAUGUAGAACUCUGUUGCACUCAGUAAAAGACUCACGUAGAAGGAAAAACAAUUAGUACUGUGGUCUGACUAUGUGAGGCAAUGCCAAUGAAAACAUUAUAAACUUUAUCCAUGACAAAUGAAACGCUCACACAUAUUUCCAUUUUACACAAAUUUUGUUCAGAGUUAAAUAAUUUUUUAUGUCAAAAGUGUACAGCAACAAGCAAAAAACACAAAAACAACAACAAUAAAAACAACAAAACAAACAAUUAAACAGUCUCUAUAUAUACAUAUUUUUUCAUUGUUCACAACCUUUGAUUAGACUGAGAUGUCAUGAUAUUUUAUGAAUCUAUUUCAAAAACUGUUAUUUUAAAUAAUUGCGGAAUUUUUGUUAAUUUAUCCCUUCGAUUGUAACGGGUUUUCUUGGCUUCAAUGGCCGUCGUGUGAAGGUAAAAGUACGCUACAUCCUUAAAUCAUAAUAACUAUUGUAAACGUUUAAACUGUGGCUUGCUAAUUACUAAUGAAUAUUAAGCAGCACUUCGUGAACUUCAAGGAAGUUAAAGUGGGUUUAUUGUUUCGAGAAAGUGCUCAUUUUGAAAUAAUUGAAAUCUGACUCCUGGUAAAUAGGCGUAAGUGCUUAUGAGAGUUGAACAGGCGGAAGACUCUACUCGUCAAUAAACGACAUUACAUGAACUUAAACUGUUAUUCAGAAGCUCAUCACACAUAGAGAUGAACCUGUUUUUUUAGGAACCCUUCUUUAUGACAAGGCUUAAGUUAGCUUGAAAGGGAAGUUAACUUAUUGUCCAUUGUUUCGGUUUCAAGAACAAGGUUUGUCGAUAUUCUGUGAACUAUAAACUAUAAAUUCUAUAAACUAUAUUGCUCCACAUAAGUAUCAUCGGGGGAAGAGGGCUGAUUUCUCCUGAUAAUUUUAGUCGAUUGUGAAAUUUUACGGUGGACAUCAAUAUUCCUUAACAAACUUCAGUAUAUGAGUUUGAUUAUCUUCCUCAUUAGAUUGUUGGAUGGUAUUACUGGGUUACUAAUUUGCUUCUCAGUUUUUGAGGUUUGCAGCACGCCAUGACCUCUAUACAGGAUCCAAGUUUUCCUAAUAUUUCGCUAAGAUUUUCGAGGUAUCACAUUACUGAGCGAUGUAUGUAGUUCCUUUUCUUUUGAUUUUCUAUAAGCAAAACUCAAGCGCAAGCUAUACGUCAUUUUAACAUUGGGAGUUAUUGUGUCCUACCCGUAUUAGAUGGAAUAAGGAUGGAGAUGUUCUUACAUAUGAGUAAGAAUAUAAAAAAAACUACUCUUCUCAUAAGUAAAAACAGAAGUGGACUAUUGUUCUUACAUUUCUGAUCUUUUAAUGGGCAUUUUGCAUCGCGAAAGAAGCCACGAAGUUCUGUGGAGCAUUGGCUGUAUGCUCGUCAUCAUAAUAAAUCCUCAUCGUCAAACUUUUUCCUUCCUUUUCUGAGCUAAAUUAUAAGAAGAUAUUAUCAGUGUCUUUCGUGGUCUUAUUCUAAACCUGUUUAGAGAUAUGUUCACAGAUAAACCCUUUCCUUGAAAAGGCUUAGCCCAUCUAAGACGGAUGAGCAAACUCUUACAGUUGAUCUUAAGGAGUUUACCCGCCAGUCCAUUCGUUGAUCACGUGACAAACAGUUUCUGAGCUGGUGUCCUUCAGUUAAGUUUUAUUAUGUAUCUUCCAAUAAAAUGUCAACCACAGAU
Pomacea canaliculata is the source of this 3458-nucleotide RNA transcript. RefSeq lists it as uncharacterized. The transcript is spliced from 7 exons. The record is from RefSeq and is a predicted model, not a curated record. NCBI's taxonomy places the organism in Eukaryota, Metazoa, Mollusca, Gastropoda, Architaenioglossa, Ampullariidae.